UUAAAUAAAAAUCGGUGUUGUUGCUGCCUUUCGUGGUGACGCGUCGGAAUUGAGUCGUCUUAUCUUCGGCUAAGUGACUUAAAAUUUUAUAUGAUUUUCGAACGUAUUUAAAUUGCUUACGUACGUUUGAGAUAUCUAAUAUUUUAUUAGGUUCGGUCAUCCUUAUGAUUCGUUCCCAUAAUUUUUUCAUU
Molecule: unclassified non-coding RNA, 191 nt
Filed under: uncultured Glomeraceae
Lineage: Eukaryota; Fungi; Glomeromycota; Glomeromycetes; Glomerales; Glomeraceae
Description: sequence contains ITS2
Source: RNAcentral